GACGAACGCUGGCGGCGUGCUUAACACAUGCAAGUCGAACGGAAAGGCCUGCUUUCCCUUGUGGAUUGCGGGUACUCGAGUGGCGAACGGGUGAGUAACACGUGAGUGAUCUGCCCCCAACUUGGGUAUAAGCCUGGGAAACUGGGUCUAAUUCCCGAUAGGACUGCAGGGUGGUGCCUGUGGUGGAAAACGAUUUUCUAGUGGUUGGGGAUGAGCUCGCGGCCUAUCAGCUUGUUGGUGGGGUAAUGGCCUACCAAGGCGGCGACGGGUAGCCGGCCUGGGAGGGUGGACGGGCACAUUUGGACUGAGAUACGGCCCAGACUCCUACGGGAGGCAGCAGUGGGGAAUAAUGCACAAUGGGCGGAAGCCUGAUGCAGCGACGCCGCGUGGGGGAUGACGGCCUUCGGGUUGUAAACUCCUUUCGACCGCGAGGAAGCCACCUGGUUGGAAGGGUGGUGACGGUAGUGGUAGAAGAAGCACCGGCUAACUACGUG
RNAcentral lists this ribosomal RNA (494 nucleotides) under uncultured bacterium. RNAcentral describes it as "partial 16S ribosomal RNA". It matches the Rfam family "Bacterial small subunit ribosomal RNA", at positions 28 to 507 of the family's 1533-position model. The record is from RNAcentral.